RNAcentral lists this ribosomal RNA (253 nucleotides) under uncultured bacterium. RNAcentral's name for it is "partial 16S ribosomal RNA". It matches the Rfam family "Bacterial small subunit ribosomal RNA", at positions 524 to 776 of the family's 1533-position model. The record is from RNAcentral.
UACGUAGGGUGCGAGCGUUAAUCGGAAUUACUGGGCGUAAAGCGUGCGCAGGCGGUUCGUUAAGUCAGAUGUGAAAGCCCCGGGCUCAACCUGGGAACUGCAUUUGAAACUGGCGGGCUUGAGUAUGGCAGAGGGGGGUGGAAUUCCGCGUGUAGCAGUGAAAUGCGUAGAGAUCGUAAGGAAGACCAGUGGCGAAGGCGAGUUUCUGGACAGUUACUGACGCUGAGGCACGAAGGCCAGGGGAGCAAACGGG